Rhinichthys klamathensis goyatoka is the source of this 245-nucleotide long non-coding RNA. RefSeq lists it as uncharacterized. The record is from RefSeq and is a predicted model, not a curated record. The transcript has 3 exons. NCBI's taxonomy places the organism in Eukaryota, Metazoa, Chordata, Actinopteri, Cypriniformes, Leuciscidae.
CCUCCAUUGCUCACACCUCUAAUAUAUGCAUCUCAUCUUUUGCAGUUUAAGUUGAAAAGCAGUUUGUGGCAACCUCCUAUUAAUGCGUGACAACAUCAACACCAGGAGGGAGUGUAUCCUGAGAUGCCUCAUCAUCUACCUCAAUGAAGAUCCAGACACCUUCUUCAAAGAAUAUCUGGCACCGGCGACCGAGGAUGCAGAAAGGGACCUAGCAACCACAGUCAUGGGGAUUUAUGUGAUCCGAA